Molecule: ribosomal RNA, 779 nt
Filed under: uncultured Neocallimastigales
Lineage: Eukaryota; Fungi; Neocallimastigomycota; Neocallimastigomycetes; Neocallimastigales
Description: partial large subunit ribosomal RNA
Rfam family: Eukaryotic large subunit ribosomal RNA
Source: RNAcentral
AGAGAGAGACAUGCGCGCAUAUCAAUAAGCGGAGGAAAAGUAAACUAACUAGGAUUCCCUUAGUAACGGCGAGUGAAGCGGGAAGAGCUCAAAUUUGAAAUCUUCAAGGUUUCUACCUUGACGAAUUGUAGUUUAAAGAAGUGUUUUCUGUUAGUGGAGUUUGGUAAAAGUUCUUUGGAAUAGGACAUCAUAGAGGGUGAGAAUCCCGUAUUUGACCAUUACUUUCCAGCUGUGUGAUACACUUUCAAAGAGUCGGAUUGUUAGGGAAUGCAGUCCAAAAUGGGUGGUAAAUUUCAUCUAAAGCUAAAUAUUGGCGAGAGACCGAUAGCGAACAAGUACCGUGAGGGAAAGAUGAAAAGAACUUUGAAAAGAGAGUUAAACAGUACGUGAAAUUGUCAAAAGGGAAGCGUUUGACACCAGUGUUGUUUUUCCGAAAAUCAAUUACGAAUGUUUUGUUUUUGAGGAGUUAUGACUUCAUCGGCUUGCUCCUUUCUUUACGAAACUUUCUUAAUGCACUUUUCGGUUAACAAGUCAACAUCAAUUUCUUUUGUUGUAAAAGGGUAAGAGGAAGGUGGCUUACGCUUCGGCGUAAGUGUUUAUAGCCUUUUACCUCUGCAAUCGGAGAGAUUGAGGUCUGCAGCGUAGACUCUUCGGGGUUAGAUACACUUGUGCUAAGCUAUAGCCUUGUAUAGACAACUUGUUGACUAUGCUCAGUCAUGUAGCUUACUCGCUUGUGCUAUUUUACCUACGCUUAGGAUGUUGAUCUGUAGUGCGUGCGC